GAUGAACGCUAGCGGCAGGCCUAAUACAUGCAAGUCGAGGGAGAAUGUUGGAUUCGUCUGACAUGAAACCGGCGCACGGGUGCGUAACACGUAUGCAACCUACCUUUAACUGGGGUAUAGCUCAGAGAAAUCUGAAUUAAUCCCCCAUAAGACUACGACAUGGCAUCAUGAUGUAGUUAAAGCUCUGGCGGUUAAGGAUGGGCAUGCGGUACAUUAGCUAGUUGGUGAGGUAAUGGCUCACCAAGGCGACGAUGUAUAGGGGGUCUGAGAGGAUGAUCCCCCACACUAGUAAUGGGACACAGACCUGACUCCUACGGGAGGCAGCAGUAAGGAAUAUUGGUCAAUGGACGCAAGUCUGAACCAGCCAUGCCGCGUGAAGGAUGAAGGCCCUAUGGGUCGUAAACUUCUUUUAUUAGGAAAGAAAAAACGGGAUGCGUCCUGUACUGACGGUACUUAAUGAAUAAGGAUCGGCUAUGUUCGUGCCAGCAGCCGCGGUAA
This 498-nucleotide ribosomal RNA is filed under the name uncultured bacterium. RNAcentral describes it as "partial 16S ribosomal RNA". It matches the Rfam family "Bacterial small subunit ribosomal RNA", at positions 28 to 523 of the family's 1533-position model. The record is from RNAcentral.